GAUCCUGGCUCAGGAUGAACGCUGGCGGCGUGCCUAAUACAUGCAAGUCGCGCGGAGAAUUAGCAAUAAGUCUUAGCGGCGAACGGGUGAGUAACGCGUUGGUGACCUGCCCCAAAGUGUGGGAUAACAGUUCGAAAGGAUUGCUAAUACCGCAUGUGAUCACAGGGAUUAGAUGCCCCGUGAUUAAAGCCGAAAGGCGCUAUGGGAGGGACCUGCGUCCCAUCAGCUAGUUGGUAGGGUAACGGCCUACCAAGGCGAUGACGGUAGGGGACCUGAGAGGGUGGCCCCCCACAAUGGAACUGAAACACGGUCCAUACACCUACGGGUGGCAGCAGUAGGGAAUAUUGCAUAAUGGGCGAAAGCCUGAUGCAGCAACGCCCGCGUGUGCGAUGAAGGCCUUCGGGUCGUAAAGCACUUUUGGAGAGGAUGAGGAAGGACAGUACUCUCUGAAUAAGCCUCGGCUAACUACGUGCCAGCAGCAGC
RNAcentral lists this ribosomal RNA (483 nucleotides) under uncultured bacterium. Its description in RNAcentral is "bacterial SSU rRNA". It matches the Rfam family "Bacterial small subunit ribosomal RNA", at positions 15 to 518 of the family's 1533-position model. The record is from RNAcentral.